This 262-nucleotide ribosomal RNA is filed under the name uncultured bacterium. Its description in RNAcentral is "partial 16S ribosomal RNA". It matches the Rfam family "Bacterial small subunit ribosomal RNA", at positions 793 to 1055 of the family's 1533-position model. The record is from RNAcentral.
GUCCACGCCGUAAACGUUGGGCACUAGGUGUGGGUCUAAACCAACGAGAUCCGUGCCGCAGCUAACGCAUUAAGUGCCCCGCCUGGGGAGUACGGCCGCAAGGCUAAAACUCAAAGGAAUUGACGGGGGCCCGCACAAGCGGCGGAGCAUGUUGCUUAAUUCGAGGCAACGCGAAGAACCUUACCUGGGUUUGACAUUCUGGGAAAAGCCGUAGAGAUACGGUGUCCGAAAGGGUCCAGAACAGGUGGUGCAUGGCUGUCGU